GACAGAGGGUGCAAACGUUGUUCGGAAUUACUGGGCGUAAAGCGCGUGUAGGCUGCUUCGAAAGUCGGAUGUGGAAGCCCUGGGCUCAACCUAGGAAGUGCACUCGAAACUUCGAAGCUGGAGUCCUGGAGAGGAAGGCGGAAUUCUCGGUGUAGAGGUGAAAUUCGUAGAUAUCGAGAGGAACACCGGUGGCGAAGGCGGCCUUCUGGACAGUGACUGACGCUGAGACGCGAAAGCGUGGGGAGCAAACAGG
Molecule: ribosomal RNA, 253 nt
Filed under: uncultured bacterium
Lineage: Bacteria
Description: partial 16S ribosomal RNA
Rfam family: Bacterial small subunit ribosomal RNA
Source: RNAcentral